UGCUCUCGUACGCUAUAGCAUGAUCGUGGCUCAAUGGAACGUCUGGUAGACUAUCGCCGAACCGUGGAUUAGUGGCGAACGGGUGAGUAACACGUGAGUAACCAUGCCUUCCACUCUGGGAUAAGCGCUGGAAACGGCGUCUAAUACUGGAUAUGACAUUGCCUCGCAUGGGGUGGUGUGGAAAGAUUUUUUGGUGGUAGAUGGACUCGCGGCCUAUCAGCUUGUUGGUGGGGUAAUGGCCUACCAAGGCGACGACGGGUAGCCGGCCUGAGAGGGUGACCGGCCACACUGGGACUGAGACACGGCCCAGACUCCUACGGGAGGCAGCAGUGGGGAAUAUUGCACAAUGGGCGAAAGCCUGAUGCAGCGACGCCGCGUGAGGGAUGACGGCCUUCGGGUUGUAAACCUCUUUCAGCUCUGACGAAGCUUUUGGUGACGGAAGGACCAAAAAAACCACCGGCUAACUACUUGCCACCACCCCCGGAAUUACUUAGGGGGCAACCGUUGUCCGAAUUUAUGGGGCGUAAAAAGCUGGUAGGCGGUUGGUCCCGCCGGCGGUGAAGCCCCGGGGCUUACUUCCGGGCCUGCAUUGGGACCGGCCAGGUUAAAUGGUGGAAGGGAAAACUGAAUUUCUUGGGGACCGUUGAAUUCCCCAAAUAUCAGAAGAAACCCAAUGGCAAAGGCAGGCCUCUGGCCCUUUACUAACGCUAAAAACCAAAACCUUGGGAACCAAACAGAAUAAAAUACCUUGGAAGUCACCGCCUUAACCGUUGGCCGCUAGGUGUGGUCCCAUUCCCGGGGUCCUUCCCCACCUACCCAUUAGCGCCCGCCUGGGAAUACGGCGCAAGGUUAAAUUCAAGGAAUUGACGGGGGCCCCCCAAGCGGCGAACAUGGCGAUAAUUCAUGCACCCGAAAACCUUACCAGGCUUGACUUCACCGACGACUGCAAAAAGUGGUUCCCUUUGGCUGGGUACAGUGGUGCAUGGUUGCGUCAGCUCGGGCGUGAAAUGUGGGUAAGUCCGGAACGAGCCAACCUCGUUCAUGUUGCAGCAGCCCUUUGGGUGCUGGGAC
RNAcentral lists this ribosomal RNA (1071 nucleotides) under Serinicoccus sp. 1305-W10. Its description in RNAcentral is "bacterial SSU rRNA". It matches the Rfam family "Bacterial small subunit ribosomal RNA", at positions 65 to 1138 of the family's 1533-position model. Lineage: Bacteria; Bacillati; Actinomycetota; Actinomycetes; Micrococcales; Ornithinimicrobiaceae. The record is from RNAcentral.